Non-coding RNA from Brassica napus (rape), 87 nucleotides. The record is from Rfam. NCBI's taxonomy places the organism in Eukaryota, Viridiplantae, Streptophyta, Magnoliopsida, Brassicales, Brassicaceae.
UACUCUAAUGAUGUUAAAACUAUUAACUUUCGUUCUCCUGAGAUUUCAUUGUGCUGAAAAAUAAUUGGAGACCUGAACUGAAGAGUU